UGUUUACUGUUCAAGAAUAAAUAGGUGAAGGAGAGAAGACGAAGAAAGAAUAAAUAUGCUUUACCUCCAGAAAUAAGGGAAGGGAAUAUCG
This is a long non-coding RNA of Cucurbita moschata (crookneck pumpkin), 91 nucleotides long. RefSeq lists it as uncharacterized. The transcript is spliced from 2 exons. Lineage: Eukaryota; Viridiplantae; Streptophyta; Magnoliopsida; Cucurbitales; Cucurbitaceae. The record is from RefSeq and is a predicted model, not a curated record.